Molecule: ribosomal RNA, 951 nt
Filed under: uncultured sponge bacterium
Lineage: Bacteria
Description: bacterial SSU rRNA
Rfam family: Bacterial small subunit ribosomal RNA
Source: RNAcentral
CGGUCGCGAGUAAAGCGGCGAACGGGUGAGUACAACGUGGAUAAUCUACCCUAGGGUCCGGGACAACCCCGAGAAAUCGGGGCUAAUACCGGAUAAGACCACAGUAUCCAAGGAUACAGCGGUAAAAGAUUUAUCGCCUUUGGAUGAGUCCACGCCCCAUCAGGUAGUUGGUAAGGUAAAGGCUUACCAAGCCUAAGACGGGUAGCCGGCCUUAGCGGGUGAACGGCCACAUGGGGACUGAGACACGGCCCUGACUCCUACGGGAGGCAGCAGUGGGGAAUAUUGGGCAAUGGGCGAAAGCCUGACCCAGCGAUGCCGCGUGAGGGAUGAAGGCCUUCGGGUUGUAAACCUCUGUCAGGAGGGACGAUGGGACUAUGUCUUGACGGUACCUCCAGAGGAAGCCCCGGCUAACUCCGUGCCAGCAGCCGCGGUAAUACGGAGGGGGCAAGCGUUGCUCGGAAUUACUGGGCGUAAAGGGUCCGCAGGCUGUCAGGCAAGUUGGUUGUGAAAUCCCAAGGCUUAACCUUGGAAUUGCAUCCAAAACUGCCUGACUAGAGUCCAAGAGAGGUUGGCGGAAUUCCCGGUGUAGCGGUGAAAUGCAUAGAUAUCGGGAGGAACACCAGAGGCGAAGGCGGCCAACUGGCUUGGUACUGACGCUCAGGGACGAAAGCGUGGGUAGCAAACCGGAUUAGAUACCCGGGUAGUCCACGCCCUAAACGAUGGAUGCUAGGUAGGGGGAAUUUAUUUCUCCCUGCCGUAGUUAACGCAUUAAGCAUCCCGCCUGGGGAGUACGGUCGCAAGGCUGAAACUCAAAGGAAUUGGCGGGGGCCCGCACAAGCGGUGGAGCACGUGGUUUAAUUCGAUGCUAAGCGAAAAACCUUACCAAGGCUUGACAUGUUAACUUAAGCCUAUACGAAGGUAAUGUGGGUGGGUUCCGGGCUUGCCCGGAAC